Molecule: long non-coding RNA, 239 nt
Organism: Patella vulgata (common limpet)
Lineage: Eukaryota; Metazoa; Mollusca; Gastropoda; Patellidae
Exons: 2
Source: RefSeq, a predicted model, not a curated record
UCGGUAUCUUUUCUCACUCUUUAUUUUUCUGGUUGGAUGACUGGUUCAUUGUUUCCGAUUUAAACAGCUCAUUUCCACAAAUUGGGCAUGUUGUUUUGCUCCUGAUGCUUAUGUUGUUCAUGUGAUGUCAUUAUUACUAUGGUGUUUCAUCAUUAAGCUGUAACCGCGUACGCGGGAUGUUCAUUAUAAUUUAUAUAACAAUGUGAUGAAUUUGUGAUCUAUAUAAACUUUUAAAACCA